AGAAUUCUGUUAUAAUAAACUUAUAACAACCUCAAUCAACUAUAGAUUAGGUACCUCUAAUUCAAUCAAAAUCAGAUAAAAAAUUUUAUAUAAAUAGAUUUAAAUCAGAUUUAAUAUCUCACAAAAAAUUUUAAUUAUAUAUUAUAUAAUUAAUUCUAAAAAAUUUAGUUAUGUAUGUAUGUAUUUUAGACCUGCUCUGAUAUCAGUUAAUGGGAAGGGAAACAAUUUCUCUUCGGAAGGCCAAGAUUGCAUCUAAUUUUUUUUUAUUUAUCUACAUAAUUAAGGAUCAAAUAUUUACCUAAAUAAUAGUAGAAUUAGAGAUCAAAUUUUAAAUAAUCUGAUAUAAAUCUUCAUAGAGGCCUAGAUGUGUAGAUCCUCUACUUCGCAUGCACG
RNAcentral lists this long non-coding RNA (393 nucleotides) under Elaeis guineensis (African oil palm). RNAcentral's name for it is "long non-coding RNA (EGUI_LNC081920)". The record is from RNAcentral. Lineage: Eukaryota; Viridiplantae; Streptophyta; Magnoliopsida; Arecales; Arecaceae.